GUGCAGAUUUGAUCACUAGCUCUGCAUGAUAUUAUAGAAAUGAAGGGAACCAUAUUGUUUUGUUUUGGAGAGAUUUUUCCUAAAGGG
RNAcentral lists this small nucleolar RNA (87 nucleotides) under Tupaia belangeri (northern tree shrew). Lineage: Eukaryota; Metazoa; Chordata; Mammalia; Scandentia; Tupaiidae. The record is from RNAcentral.